RNA transcript from Musa acuminata AAA Group (dessert banana), 2988 nucleotides. It is a transcript of the gene named protein-tyrosine-phosphatase PTP1-like, with no coding region annotated. The transcript is spliced from 10 exons. The record is from RefSeq and is a predicted model, not a curated record. Lineage: Eukaryota; Viridiplantae; Streptophyta; Magnoliopsida; Zingiberales; Musaceae.
CCGAUCACAUCUUUUGGGGCUUCCACAGAGCGAGAGGCUCCGAAGCGACGGGAAACUGCACAGGCCGCUGCUGCGGGGCUCGCGCACCGGCGAUGGCUGCCGUCUCCGCCCCCGUCCCCGCCCCCUCCUCCACCUUCAACCUAGGCGGUCUCUGCUCCGAUCCGCCACCGCCGCUCCGCCUCUCGGGUGAACAGCUAAAGUACUGCUCCGAAGCACUAUAUUUCUUCAAGGAGAAGCUCAGAACCCCUACUAGGAUCGCCCAGGAGUUCCACCGUCUCCAGGAGAUGAGGCCAACGAUGGAUGAGAUUGUGAGAAAGUGUUCCGUGGCUCUGCGAGAUGCAAACUUGGAUAAAAAUCGCUACACAGAUAUUCUCCCAUUUGACAAUAACAGGAUCGUUCUCAAUUCAACAAGGGACAGCACCUCCUUGAGGAACAAUUAUAUCAAUGCGAGUCUUAUUGGGCUAGCAUCUGGUGAAAAAGUCUCGCAGUUUAUUGCUACACAAGGUCCACUCCCUGAGACCUUUGAAGAUUUUUGGGAGAUGGUAUUUGAAUAUCGUUGUCCUGCAAUCGUGAUGCUAACACGUGUUGAUAAUCACAGGAUGAUGAGGAAAUGUGCUAAUUAUUUUCAAGCACAAAAUGGGCUCAGAGAAUUUGGAAAAAUCAGUAUUGAGACGAAAUAUACGAGAACAUCUGAUUCUUCAUUAGUGCUGCGCUGCUUGGAAGUGAAACACAAAGAGUUGGUGAAACCAGCCCUUUCGGUUCUCCAUAUCCAGUACCCUGAAUGGCCUGAUCAUGGGGUGCCUGAGGAUACUGCAUCAGUUCGGGAAAUUUUUGAAAUGACACAUCAUUUACCACCAGAAAUUGGCCCCAUUGUUGUGCAUUGCAGUGCAGGUAUUGGGAGAACUGGUACGUAUUGUACCAUUCACAACACACUGCAAAGGGUUCUCAUUGGUGAUAUGUCUUCUUUAGAUCUUAAGAAAACUAUUUCUGAGUUCAGAUCACAACGGCUAGGGAUGGUUCAGACAAUGGAACAAUAUUUCUUCUGCUAUGAUGCAAUCGUGGAUGAACUAGAAGAACUCCUCUCCAGGUCCGCACACUAGAAGCUCUAGAAGGUUACUCGGCAUCGUUAAUGCUCGAACGAAGAUCACCUGUCUCGCUCAGCCAGGGAACACGAGAAAGAGGGAGCGAGAUCGGUGCACCGUUCCCUUAUAAAUACCGACCUCCGUUGCCGUUUCUCAUCUCCCUCCCCACCCUCCCCCCACCUCAUCAUUUGAUCGCUGCCUCUGGUUGUUCUCCUUCGGCAUCUCGAGACUCCUGGGUUCCAUCCCCUCCUCAUCUUUGCCGAAUUUUCUUGUUUCGUUUGAUGGAUUCUCUUCUGAUCUCUUUGUCUUCUGAUGUAUGAUUGUUAAGUCUUGGACAUGUUUCUGGAUUCUUCACAUCAAAGUGUGUUUUCUUCUUUUUCUGGCAGGAUUACCGAGUUUGGGUUGAAGAUUCGGUGCAGAGGCAAAAGGAUCGCACUGCUCGAUCUCGGAGGCCGACAACUUCGACCUGGAAGCCGUUCGAUGAUCGGUCACUAGGCGAGAUCUCGACGACGGCAAAUCUCAGGCCGGUCGGUAGCUGUGGAAGCAUGUACUCCUCGGGCGCGGGGCGAUCGUUGCUGGACACGCCAGCCUCAUCGAAUCGGGAUUCGUUGAAGCCACACGCGAUGGUUCGAUCGGUAGUUUUCUUCCGAGGGCUGCCGGUGGGGGCAUGAUAGCACAUGAGAUCAUGCCUCGAAGGAGGCUUUUGAUUAUGAUCAGUUACUCUUGCUUGCCCUCCUGCGGCUCCUCUUCAUCGUCAGGCCAGCUGAAGCCUGCAUCGAAAGCUGAUGAUGGUGGAACCCUUGCCACCCUGACGAUCUGAGUUAUAUCUGCCACACUCUGAAGGGAAUAGGUGGGCAUGUUGUCAUCCUUCUUGCGGUACGUUGCUUGUGCUGCUUCUGUUGUCAUUCUUCUUGCGGUACGUUGCUUAUGGAGAGAUCGAGAUUGAGGUCGGUGCUGCUGCUGCUGCCGUCGUCGCUGGAGAAAGUUUAAGACCUUUGCUACAGUCGUGCAGUCCUGAGCCAUGGACACGUCUUGUUGUUUUAAGGUAGCGAACGGGUUAGUGAUCAGCUCGAUGGGUCGGUGAGACUGAGGGUCGAGGCCACGGCCGAGGAGCUUCCUCUUGAUGGUUGUAUUCCAGUAGUUCUUGAUCUCGUUGUCGGUCCUACCCGGCAAUCGCCCUGCUAUGAGAGACCAUCUGAAACCAUCAAACAGAUCAAUUCAUGCUCAAGUAUUGGGAUCAUCUUAUCUCACUGGCGUCAUAUUCACAGGAAAAGAAGAAGGAGGUGAUCUAGUAUGUACUUGUUCCCAAGCAAGCCAUGGAGCUUGAUGAUGAGCUCGUCUUCUGCCGCCGUAAAGUUGCCACGCUUGAGAUCGGGACGGAGGUAGUUUAUCCACCUGAGCCGGCAGCUCUUGCCACAUCGAAGCAGACCUUCAAGAGCAGGCAAAUCCCCAGUAGAUAACAACUGCAAGCGACAUACGAUUAACCCUAAGCUUCUCAGAAUAAGGUACCUACCUGCAGCUUUGGGGAGUGAUCUCCAGCAGCCUUCGCCAUGGGCCUUGAUGUAAGAGAUCAGCUUCUCGUCUUCCUCUUUCGUCCAAGCUCCCUUGUUCGUAUGAGCCUUCUCACAGCACGGAGACCUGCCCAUGCUGGCUAGCUAUGGUGGUUUCAAGCUGAAGAAGAAAGAAGAGAAGAGAUCAAAAGGGAGAGGUCGAGUGGUGGGACGAGGGAAGAGAGUUGAAUGCUCGAUUUAUAUGAGAGAGGAGGUGAAUCGAGUACUGAGCUCAUCGACACUAAUCCUUGAGCAACUCACUUGAUUGAGUUGUGUUUGGCUGGAUUUGGUCGGUAGCUCUACUUUUCAGUGAGCAUUUCCUGUUCCAUUAGCACAUGAUUUCAUUUCCUUGUUCA